AUGUCCUUCAAAAAGGUGCAUGCAAUUGAAGAGAUUAAUGUUUUGAGUGGAAAUAUGGAUGAACUUAUGAAAUUGUUUGCUAAUAAGAGUGUUUAUUCUGAUCCUAAUGAUAUGCCUUUGUCUACUUUGAUUGAGAAUAAUAAUGAAUCUAUGGAUGUGAUUUUUGUUGGUAGGAGCAAUUUUGGUAACAACGCUUAUAGAGGAAACUUUAAUCCUAGGCCGUAUCCUAGUAAUUCCUCUAAUAAUUAUGGUAAUUCCUACAACAACUCUUAUGGAAAUUUUCAUAAUAUGCCCUCUGAUUUUGAGACUAGUGUUAAAUAA
This 321-nucleotide ribosomal RNA is filed under the name Triticum aestivum (bread wheat). Its description in RNAcentral is "partial small subunit ribosomal RNA". The record is from RNAcentral. Lineage: Eukaryota; Viridiplantae; Streptophyta; Magnoliopsida; Poales; Poaceae.